AACAAGAUAACCUCAUAAAGAGUAUAAGAAAGUUAUAACCUCGAUACUAAAUACAUUUACGAUACGUGUUAAUACAAGUACUUGAUUCUUAAAAUGUGUUGAAAAAGUAGUAAAUGAAUAAAACGUAAAAUAUCUUUAUCCUGUGCAUCUUCUCUUUCGUUUCAGUGCCAAUGUGUACACGACCAUGAGCGUAACGCAGCGCAGACUCGGCUCAGAGAAAAAAAAGAGGGAGAGAGAUCAUAUUAAGAAUAAUUACGGAUCUAUUUUCGUAUCAAGAAUCGAUGACAACAAAUAUCUUGAUUUCUAUAAACAUAGCGUUACAUCGUUGCGAUCGCUUUUUUUUAAACGAGUUUCGCAGAAACUUUGUUUUUUAAACCGCAUCCCUGACGUCAAAGAGAAAGCUCACGUAUCGUUGGCAACAGCGCCGUUUCAUUCAGUGUGAAAUUUAAUCUUGUUGCACAACUGGAGGAAAUGAAAAAGCAGAGACAUUACGAAUCAUUAACACGUAGAUAUUAUAAUGCCAUAAUAUAUCGUAUUCAGGUGUAUAUAUAUGUGUACAAACUUAACCGCUUAACGAGUAUAUAUAUACGGGGAAAAGGAAAGCAGGAGAUGGGCAAAGAUUAAAUCCUGUUAAUCAAUAAUCGAAGAAUUGCUGCUUUUACUUGCGACUCCUUGAGACUUAUAUCAACUCUUCUGCAUGAGAUUAGUAUAUCUACAAACUGGCUAAGAGAGAACGCGAGGUAGUGGAGACGCCUCAGACCCCUUGAAGAUUACAUUCGCCAAUGUCUAAUCUCCAAGAAAGUUGCUUAUAGUGAGAACGCGU
Molecule: long non-coding RNA, 823 nt
Organism: Vespa crabro (European hornet)
Lineage: Eukaryota; Metazoa; Arthropoda; Insecta; Hymenoptera; Vespidae
Exons: 3
Source: RefSeq, a predicted model, not a curated record